UACGGGGGGGGCAAGCGUUGUUCGGAAUUACUGGGCGUAAAGGGCUCGUAGGUGGCCAACUAAGUCAGACGUGAAAUCCCUCGGCUUAACCGGGGAACUGCGUCUGAUACUGGAUGGCUUGAGUUUGGGAGAGGGACGCGGAAUUCCAGGUGUAGCGGUGAAAUGCGUAGAUAUCUGGAGGAAUACCGGUGGCGAAGGCGGCAUCCUGGACCGGCAUUGACGCUGAGGAGCGAAAGCUAGGGGAGCAAACGGG
RNAcentral lists this ribosomal RNA (253 nucleotides) under uncultured bacterium. Its description in RNAcentral is "partial 16S ribosomal RNA". It matches the Rfam family "Bacterial small subunit ribosomal RNA", at positions 524 to 776 of the family's 1533-position model. The record is from RNAcentral.